This 406-nucleotide ribosomal RNA is filed under the name uncultured bacterium. Its description in RNAcentral is "partial 16S ribosomal RNA". It matches the Rfam family "Bacterial small subunit ribosomal RNA", at positions 30 to 526 of the family's 1533-position model. The record is from RNAcentral.
AUUGAACGCUGGCGGCAGGCCUAACACAUGCAAGUCGAGCGCGCGGCGGACGGGUGAGUAAUGUCUGGGAAACUGCCUGAUGGAGGGGGAUAACUCCUGGAAACGGUGUCUCAUACCCCACACCCUCUGAUGUGCCCACAUGGGAUUUGCUAGUAGGUGGGGUAACGGCUCACCUAGGCGACGAUCCCUAGCUGGUCUGAGAGGAUGACAAGCCACACUGGAACUGAGACACGGUCCAGACUCCGACGGGAGGCAGCAGUGGGGAAUAUUGCACAAUGGGCGCAAGCCUGAUGCAGCCAUGCCGCGUGUGUGAAGAAGGCCUUCGGGUUGUAAAGCACUUUCAGCGGGGAGGCGUUACCCGCAGAAGAAGCACCGGCUAACUCCGUGCCAGCAGCCGCGGUAAUAC